UCAAUCGUUGUUGGUUGCGCUGUGCACGGUGUGUUGUAUUCACUUAAAAUUGAACACUUGGUGUGUUGAAUUCACUUUAAUUAAAAUGUGAACACUUGGGACAUUCUAGUCACCUGAUAACAGUGAGAAAUAACCCAUAUUAAACCAAUACAGGGCUCCGCCGAUUAUCAGCGUUAGCAUGGCCUCACCGUCUGUUUCACCCGGUGUCUUUGUUCAGCGUGUGAAAUGUUUAGUUACUCCUCUGCCUCCUUUAGUGAAGGGAAUAGGUGCAGAAAGUGGAGUUUAUUUAAGGCUAUGGAGGCGAGACUUAAUGAGAUUGAGACGCGGUUCCGCAGCUCGGAGUUGCGUCAGGUAGCCAGGAGAAGCUAGCUGCUGCGGAGCCGCCUAGCGUAGCUACAGCUAGCGGUCCCCCGGCAGCAGCCAGGGCGGCUGGGUGACGGUGCGCAGGACUCCAGCGACCAUAGCACAUGCCUGAGGAGCUCAACACUCUUGUACCACACUGGUGACCAGCAGACGCAUCGAUGGCACAGCGAGGAACCCAGCAGCUGAAGGCAGAGCUCAAACCACUGGAAUCAUCAAUGGAGACUUGGAGGGAAGAGGUCCAGCACCUUAGAGAAGCCCUGGCAGAGAAGGAGGAGCAGCUCAGCAGGGCAGUGAAGAGGCGACACAUGAGGACUGUGGCCGAUGUGGAGACCCUGACCCAGCUGAACACCUCACAAGCUGCUCUGAAGGAGAGCAACCUCAAAUGUGCUUCUCUGGAGGAAACCCUCCACAGUCAGCAGCAGGAGCUAGAGGAGCGACAUAAGAGAGAGCUGAUGGAGCAGGAGGAAGGCCUGAAUCAGAAGCUCCUUGUGAUUGAGGAGGAAUUUGUGAGGAAGCUGGAGGAAGAGAAGCACAGAUCUAAUGAAGAGGAAGAGGCCUUGAGGCAGCAGCUCUUUCUAAAAGACGACAAGUUCAAGAAACUGCUGGAAGAAGAGCAAAAUAAAUAUAACGAGAUGAUCGUUGAUAAAGAGGAGUCGAUGAAGCAGCAGCUGUUGACUCAAGAGGAGACGUAUAACAAGAUGCUGGAUGAUGUUUGUCAGCGGUGGGAGACGACAUCUCAAAAAUGGGUCCAGAUGAGAGAAUUGCUGGAGCAGAAGGUCCUGGAGAGCCAACGGUUGAGGCAAGAGGAGCAGGAUAAGACCAAAGAGGAGCUCCAGAGGCUCUCUGAAGCAAUCCUCCAACUUGAGCUUCAAGUAUUAAAGAAAAAGAAGAAGAAAAGCUUCUGGAGAUGGAUCUGCAAAAGGAUGAGGUUCUGGAAAAGUUAGUGAAGAACAAUUCCAGAGCUCCCAAAGCCCUCCUCCUCCCCCUCCCCCUCCUCCUCCUCCUCCUCCCCCUCCUCCUCCUCUUCCUCCCCCUCCUCCCCCUCCUCCUCCCCUCCUCCUCCUCCUCUACAUCCUGACUUCCACAGCAUCACAUUCAAGAUUGAAGAUUUACUUUAUUCAUCCUCGUAGGGAAAUUGAAUUGUAGAAGCAGCCGUGGAUUAAUGGAUUAAUAUAACUGUAGUGCAGGUUUUGUAUUUACAAAGUAUAGAAAUAGAAUAAAUAAAUACAAAUAAGAUCAGAACGUUCUAAGCAUAUAUACAGCAUAUAAGAAUAUACUGUAUAUAAUAUAUACAUAAUAUAAUAUAUACAUAUUUUAAGCAUUAUAAGCAUAUAUACAUAAAUAUAGAAUAAAAUAUAAAUAAAAUGACAACAUAAAUAUUACAAUUAUUGUUAUUGGCUGGGUUUGGAUGAAUUAUAGAGUUUAAUGGCGGAUGGCAGGAAUGACUUCCUGUACCGUUCCUUAGAGCAUCCUGUCUUCAUCAGUUUUAUUUUACAGUAUAAUCAUUGUUUAUGUUCUCUGUUUGGAUCUGUGAUGUCGAAACAAUAAAACUUAAAGUAAAC
This is a long non-coding RNA of Takifugu rubripes (torafugu), 1925 nucleotides long. The record is from Ensembl. Lineage: Eukaryota; Metazoa; Chordata; Actinopteri; Tetraodontiformes; Tetraodontidae.